Molecule: ribosomal RNA, 639 nt
Filed under: uncultured bacterium
Lineage: Bacteria
Also listed under: 1 other name
Description: bacterial SSU rRNA
Rfam family: Bacterial small subunit ribosomal RNA
Source: RNAcentral
CGCGGCCUAUCAGCUUGUUGGUGAGGUAACGGCUCACCAAGGCAUCGACGGGUAGCUGGUCUGAGAGGACGAUCAGCCACACUGGGACUGAGACACGGCCCAGACUCCUGCGGGAGGCAGCAGUGGGGAAUCUUGCGCAAUGGGCGAAAGCCUGACGCAGCAACGCCGCGUGGGGGAUGAAGGCUCUCGGGUUGUAAACCCCUUUCAGCAGGGACGAAAUUGACGGUACCUGCAGAAGAAGCCCCGGCCAACUACGUGCCAGCAGCCGCGGUGACACGUAGGGGGCGAGCGUUGUCCGGAAUUAUUGGGCGUAAAGAGCUCGUAGGCGGUUUAGUAAGUCAGAUGUGAAAGGUUGGGGCUCAACCCUAAGACUGCAUCCGAUACUGCUAUGACUAGAGUCCGGUAGAGGAGUGUGGAAUUCCUGGUGUAGCGGUGAAAUGCGCAGAUAUCAGGAGGAACACCGACGGCGAAGGCAGCACUCUGGGCCGGUACUGACGCUCAGGAGCGAAAGCGUGGGUAGCAAACAGGAUUAGAUACCCUGGUAGUCCACGCCGUAAACGUUGGGCACUAGGUGUGGGGCCUUAUCAACGGGUUCCGUGCCGUAGCUAACGCAUUAAGUGCCCCGCCUGGGGAGUACGG